RNAcentral lists this ribosomal RNA (592 nucleotides) under Mussaenda treutleri. RNAcentral's name for it is "eukaryotic LSU rRNA". The stretch from base 216 to 371 matches the Rfam family "5.8S ribosomal RNA". The record is from RNAcentral. Lineage: Eukaryota; Viridiplantae; Streptophyta; Magnoliopsida; Gentianales; Rubiaceae.
UUGUCGAAUCCUGCAAAGCAGACGACCGCGAACUUGUGUAAUUGCCGGGCGUCGGGGAACGGGGGAGACUAAAGCCUCCCCUAACUCCCCGGCGCUCCCCGCGCACCGCGCGGACAACAACUCAACCCCGGCGCGGAAAGCGCCAAGGAAAACUCAAAAGGAUUGCCCGCCUCCCCGUGCGCGGGGUGUGUUGUGGCGUCUGUCGUAACCAAAACGACUCUCGGCAACGGAUAUCUCGGCUCUCGCAUCGAUGAAGAACGUAGCGAAAUGCGAUACUUGGUGUGAAUUGCAGAAUCCCGUGAACCAUCGAGUCUUUGAACGCAAGUUGCGCCCGAAGCCAUUAGGCCGAGGGCACGCCUGCCUGGGCGUCACGCAUCGCGUCGCCACCCCCCUUUUGCGGGGCGGCGGACACUGGCCUCCCGUCCCAAGAAGGCGCGGCUGGCCUAAAUUCGAGUCCUCGACGGGGGACGUCACGACAAGUGGUGGUUGAAUGCCUCAACUCGAUUCCUGUCGUGUUCAUUGGCCUCGUCGUUUCUCGGGCUCCUUGACCCUUCUUGCUUGCAUCUCGAUGCGAGCCUCGACCGCGACCCCA